This 468-nucleotide ribosomal RNA is filed under the name uncultured bacterium. RNAcentral's name for it is "partial 16S ribosomal RNA". It matches the Rfam family "Bacterial small subunit ribosomal RNA", at positions 28 to 507 of the family's 1533-position model. The record is from RNAcentral.
GACGAACGCUGGCGGCGUGCUUAACACAUGCAAGUCGAACGGAAAGGCCCGGCUUUUUUGGGGUGCUCGAGUGGCGAACGGGUGAGUAACCCGUGAGUAACCUGCCCUUGACUUUGGGAUAUCUUCAGGACACUUGGGCUCGUACCGGCUAGGAGCUCCUGCUGCAUGGUGGGGGUUGGAUGGUUUCGGCGGUUGGGGAUGGACUCGCGCCUUAUCAGCUUGUUGGUGGGGUAGUGGCUGACCAUGGCUUUGACGGGUAGCCGGCCUGAGAGGGUGACACGCCCCAUUGGGACUGAGAUACGGCACAGACUCCUACCGGAGGGAGCAGUGGGGAAUAUUGCACAAGGGGCUGAACCCUGAUCCAGCACCGCCGCGUGCGGGAUGUCAGCAUGCGGGUUGUAAUCCGCUUUCGCCUGUCCCGAAGAGUGAGUGACGGUAAUGGGUAAAGAAGCACCGGCUAACUACGUG